RNAcentral lists this long non-coding RNA (1054 nucleotides) under Zea mays. Its description in RNAcentral is "long non-coding RNA (ZMAY_LNC000626)". Lineage: Eukaryota; Viridiplantae; Streptophyta; Magnoliopsida; Poales; Poaceae. The record is from RNAcentral.
UCCAGUCUUCACCCUACCAUGCUCUCUCUCUCUCUCUCUCAUCGUCCUAGCGACGUGUGUCCCCAACUAUGUACAUGCACGGGACCGAUAGGUGAACGAGCGUGAGCUACCUAGGAUUCAGAAGCUCCAUCGAUCUCGGAGCAGCAGACGAGCGCAGCCAGCUACCUAGCAGGACCCGUCGGCGGUGACCACCAGGACGCCGAGGUCGUCCCUCCGAUGCCUGGCGGCCCGACACGAAUAAGCGGGCCAGGUUCGAACAAGAAACUAAGCAUGGUAGGCUGGCCCGGCACGGCCUGUUUACCUCUAAGCCCGUUAAGUCCGCUUUUUGUACUAAAUCGUGCUUACCGGCCCGCUUUUUUCGUGCUUACCGGGCCGAACUCGGACAGAGAAACGAGCCCGUAGGUUUAAAUGGCUCGACCCGGUUUUCUAACCGUGCCUGAUGGAGCGGGCCCAAAACAUACCGGACUUCACGGGCCCGGGUCGGACGGCCCGUUUGGCCAUCUCCGGCUCUGGCAAGGUCUACACAUAGUCAAACACUUUUCUAUGGGGAGCUGUUUGGCCAUCUCCGGCUCUGGCAAGGUCUACACAUAGUCAAACACUUUUCUAUGGGGAGCUGUUUUUAAGGUAGGGGAUGGUGAGACUCGUAAAUUUUGGCAAGAUUGUUGGUUGCAUGAGGUUUAACCAACAUAGGAGUCCUUAGUCGGGUCGCGGGGAUCAUAUAGAAGUCAGGAAGUGUAAAGUGCCUUCAAGAUUAAAUUGUUUUUUGGCAGGCUUUUUUAAUAUUAAACUUCAGGUGGCCCAAUCUCUAGCCAAGAUCAAAUUACAGUUUACAAGCAUCUUCCAGUCUUCACCCUACCAUGCUCUCUCUCUCUCUCUCAUCGUCCUAGCGACGUGUGUCCCCAACUAUGUACAUGCACGGGACCGAUAGGUGAACGAGCGUGAGCUACCUAGGAUUCAGAAGCUCCAUCGAUCUCGGAGCAGCAGACGAGCGCAUCCAGCUACCUAGCAGGACCCGUCGGCGGUGACCACACCAGGACGCCGAGGUCGUCGCUCC